AAAAAGGUAAGCUAAUAAAGCUCUUGGGUUCAUACCCCAAUUAUAAAGGUCUAACCCUUUUCUUUUU
Molecule: transfer RNA, 67 nt
Filed under: Galerucella sp. EMHAU-15070821
Lineage: Eukaryota; Metazoa; Arthropoda; Insecta; Coleoptera; Chrysomelidae
Description: tRNA-Met
Rfam family: tRNA
About the family: Transfer RNA (tRNA) molecules are approximately 80 nucleotides in length. Their secondary structure includes four short double-helical elements and three loops (D, anti-codon, and T loops).
Source: RNAcentral